UAGAGAGGACUCAGAAGCGAGGAUGACAAUCACAGCUCCUUUAAUAACAAAUGGCAGGAUGACCACAGGCAAAGAUGAGCAGAGAGCUGGAGCAGUAGGGACCCAGAAACCCUCAGGGCCGGGAUAGCGAGCAAUGAAGAAGGAACACAGCCUCAGACUCCUAGCAGACAGGACUGGACUGGACUCAGACAGAUGCACGCAUCGAAACUUACGAACAAACUGACAAC
Molecule: non-coding RNA, 227 nt
Organism: Pimephales promelas (fathead minnow)
Lineage: Eukaryota; Metazoa; Chordata; Actinopteri; Cypriniformes; Leuciscidae
Source: RefSeq, a predicted model, not a curated record